UAUUUAUAUAGUUUAAGUAAAACAUUACAUUUUCAUUGUAAAAUUAAAUUAUUAAAAUUUAUGAAU
RNAcentral lists this transfer RNA (66 nucleotides) under Anastrangalia sequensi. Its description in RNAcentral is "tRNA-Glu". Lineage: Eukaryota; Metazoa; Arthropoda; Insecta; Coleoptera; Cerambycidae. The record is from RNAcentral.